CGUGAUAGGGGACACCGAGUGCCAGCAUCAUAUGCUGGCUGUCCGGGUGUGUAAAAUACACCCGUUAGCAAGGGCCGGGCAAGACCGGUGCCAGCCGCCGCGGUAACACCGGCGGCCCGAGUGGUGAUCGUGAUUAUUGGGUCUAAAGGGUCCGUAGCCGGUUUGGUCAGUCCUCCGGGAAAUCUGAUAGCUCAACUAUUAGGCUUUCGGGGGAUACUGCCAGGCUUGGAACCGGGAGAGGUAAGAGGUACUACAGGGGUAGGA
This 264-nucleotide ribosomal RNA is filed under the name uncultured methanogenic archaeon. RNAcentral describes it as "partial 16S ribosomal RNA". It matches the Rfam family "Archaeal small subunit ribosomal RNA", at positions 366 to 631 of the family's 1478-position model. Lineage: Archaea; Methanobacteriati; Methanobacteriota. The record is from RNAcentral.